AUUGAACGCUGGCGGCAUGCCUUACACAUGCAAGUCGAACGGCAGCACGGGAGCAAUCCUGGUGGCGAGUGGCGAACGGGUGAGUAAAGUAUCGGAACAUGCCCAGUCGUGGGGGAUAACGUAGCGAAAGUUACGCUAAUACCGCAUACGAUCUAUGGAUGAAAGCGGGGGAUCGCAAGACCUCGCGCGAUUGGAGCGGCCGAUAUCAGAUUAGGUAGUUGGUGGGGUAAAGGCUCACCAAGCCGACGAUCUGUAGCUGGUCUGAGAGGACGACCAGCCAGACUGGGACUGAGACACGGCCCAGACUACGACGGGAGGCAGCAGUGGGGAAUUUUGGACAAUGGGCGCAAGCCUGAUCCAGCCAUGCCGCGUGCAGGAUGAAGGCCUUCGGGUUGUAAACUGCUUUUGUACGGAACGAAAAGGUUUGACUUAAUACGUUGGACUCAUGACGGUACCGUAAGAAUAAGCACCGGCUAACUACGUGCCAGCCGCCGCAGUAA
Molecule: ribosomal RNA, 500 nt
Filed under: uncultured bacterium
Lineage: Bacteria
Description: partial 16S ribosomal RNA
Rfam family: Bacterial small subunit ribosomal RNA
Source: RNAcentral